AUUGAACGCUGGCGGCAUGCUUUACACAUGCAAGUCGAACGGCAGCGCGGGCUUCGGCCUGGCGGCGAGUGGCGAACGGGUGAGUAAUGCAUCGGAACGUGCCCAGUAGUGGGGGAUAGCCCGGCGAAAGCCGGAUUAAUACCGCAUACGACCUGAGGGUGAAAGCGGGGGACCGAAAGGCCUCGCGCUAUUGGAACGGCCGAUGUCGGAUUAGCUAGUUGGUGGGGUAAAGGCUUACCCAGGCGACGAUCCGUAGCUGGUCUGAGAGGACGACCAGCCACACUGGGACUGAGACACGGCCCAGACUCCUACGGGAGGCAGCAGUGGGGAAUUUUGGACAAUGGGGGCAACCCUGCUCCAGCCAUGCCGCGUGCGGGAAGAAGGCCUUCGGGUUGUAAACCGCUUUUGUUCGGGAAGAAAUCCUCUGGGCUAAUACCCCGGGGGGAUGACGGUACCGGAAGAAUAAGCACCGGCUAACUACGUG
This 484-nucleotide ribosomal RNA is filed under the name uncultured bacterium. RNAcentral's name for it is "partial 16S ribosomal RNA". It matches the Rfam family "Bacterial small subunit ribosomal RNA", at positions 28 to 507 of the family's 1533-position model. The record is from RNAcentral.